Molecule: long non-coding RNA, 236 nt
Organism: Stegostoma tigrinum
Lineage: Eukaryota; Metazoa; Chordata; Chondrichthyes; Orectolobiformes; Stegostomatidae
Exons: 3
Source: RefSeq, a predicted model, not a curated record
GGCGACCAGAACUAAACACAGAACUCCAGAAGAGUCCCUUGCCAAUGUCCUGUAUGACCUCACCAUCACGUCUCAACUCCUAUACUCAAAGAUCUGAACAAUGAAGACACCAAAAGAUAUUGUCUAUCUACUGUGCCUUGAGAGGUAGAUGAUGUGUCACCUUCUUGAAUCGCUCCAGCCCAUGUGGUGAAGAGUAUUAGAAGACGAGAAUUUGUAGCUGGGAAUCAACUGUCAGG